Molecule: long non-coding RNA, 824 nt
Organism: Hippocampus zosterae (dwarf seahorse)
Lineage: Eukaryota; Metazoa; Chordata; Actinopteri; Syngnathiformes; Syngnathidae
Exons: 3
Source: RefSeq, a predicted model, not a curated record
GGCCGGUUCCACUCAAAUCAUUUCUCAGCAGGCUGUCCUCAUAAAAAAAGACAUUAGGCCCACUUGAAAGUUUUGUCCUGGCGCGUUUACGAUGGUGCAGAAAGGAGCACAAUAGUCUUUGGAACGGCCUACAGAUGGAGAUAAACGUUGUUCGAAAGCGAAAAAAAAAAGUACGAGUUGGGGGUGGUCGAUUUAGCACACUUUGGUUCAUAGAAAAAAAAACUUGCAGAGCUGGGCUGAUGCCUCAGAAGAUAAAUCUCCUGACACCAAAAUGCCAAUUUCUCUGUAAAUUGUGGUUGAUCAUGUGACAUGAGAGGACUUGGCGAUAAAUAAUAACAAAAAUAUUAAGGAUAUCUUCCAUUUCUAAUUUGCAGAUUUGCUUCGGACAAAGGCGAAGCUGCAAAGCAACCAGUUCAGGGUGUACCCCGCCGACUACCCGAAGACAACUGGGAUAGGCUGCAGGGCUCCUCGCGACCCUUCUGAGGAUCAGCGGAUCAGAAAAUGGAUGGAUGGAUGGAUGGAUGGAGAAAAAUAGCUCAUCUCUGCCCUUCUUAGCUCCUUGCAGAGGAUAAAGAAUACGACUGUGAAAGCAUCCAGGUGAGGAGAAAGCGUGAAGACGCCCCUCUUCAAAGCUCCUUUCAUGUACGCGGAUCCCCGAGCCGCCGCGUCUUUGAAGCGAGCGGCAACAAAGCGGGCGGAGAGGUGUCGCCGUGACAACGGGAGAAGAAUAAGAAGAAGCGCCGAGGCCACAGGGCUCCCCCGUCAUGCUUGCUCGCCGUUUGUUUUCCAGGUAAACACAAGCUGACACGUUUGAGCGCCGAGGC